ACGUAGGUGGCAAGCGUUAUCCGGAUUUACUGGGUGUAAAGGGCGUGUAGGCGGUCUUGCAAGUCGGAAGUGAAAUUCCCGGGCUUAACCCGGGCGCUGCUCCCGAAACUGCGAGACUUGAGUACUGGAGAGGAUAGUGGAAUUCCUAGUGUGGGGGUAGAAGGCGGGUAGAGGAGGAGGAGCACCGGUGGCGAAGGCGGCUAACCGGACAGGAUCCGAUGUUGAGGCGCGAAAGCUUGUUGAGCAAAACG
This 251-nucleotide ribosomal RNA is filed under the name uncultured prokaryote. Its description in RNAcentral is "partial 16S rRNA". It matches the Rfam family "Bacterial small subunit ribosomal RNA", at positions 525 to 775 of the family's 1533-position model. The record is from RNAcentral.